AGCGAACGCUGGCGGCAGGCCUAACACAUGCAAGUUGAACGAACUCUUCGGAGUUAGUGGCGGACGGGUGAGUAACACGUGGGAACGUGCCUUUAGGCUCGGAAUAACUCAGGGAAACUUGAGCUAAUACCGGAUGUGUCCUUCGGGGGAAAGAUUUAUCGCCUUUAGAGCGGCCCGCGUCUGAUUAGCUAGGUGGUGAGGUAAAGGCUCACCAAGGCGACGAUCAGUAGCUGGUCUGAGAGGAUGAUCAGCCACAUUGGGACUGAGACACGGCCCAAACUCCUACGGGAGGCAGCAGUGGGGAAUCUUGCGCAAUGGGCGAAAGCCUGACGCAGCCAUGCCGCGUGAAUGAUGAAGGUCUUAGGAUUGUAAAAUUCUUUCACCGGGGACGAUAAUGACGGUACCCGGAGAAGAAGCCCCGGCUAACUUCGUG
RNAcentral lists this ribosomal RNA (433 nucleotides) under uncultured bacterium. RNAcentral's name for it is "partial 16S ribosomal RNA". It matches the Rfam family "Bacterial small subunit ribosomal RNA", at positions 29 to 507 of the family's 1533-position model. The record is from RNAcentral.